Molecule: RNA transcript, 2496 nt
Organism: Triticum dicoccoides
Lineage: Eukaryota; Viridiplantae; Streptophyta; Magnoliopsida; Poales; Poaceae
Exons: 4
Source: RefSeq, a predicted model, not a curated record
UGGUGUUGGAGAGAGUUGUGCGGCUGACUCCUGCGUCGUGCUCUGCCUGGCCCCUGCGCCAUGCCGCGUCUCGUCUAAGGCAGCAGGAGCGUGCGGUGUGGGUGCCCCCAAACCAUAGGUCUCCUCGCUCCUCCCUUCCUCCCCCUCCCCCCGGCAGCCCGAGGAGCUCUGCCAUCGAUGAGAUCCAGCGCCUCCCAAGGUCCUUAUCCACCACAGCUCGCGAGGAAGCUGCGGGAGGAGAUCAACCGGGCAUUCGCCGGCCGGAGAAGGAGGAGAGGCGCAGAUGCCAGCCAGGAAGGUGGAUCGGUUCGCCUCCGCUGUGCCGUGAGCACCGCCGCCGCCUUUGCAUCCACCUUGCUCCGCGUAGCAGCAUGUGUGCGGAAGCAUGGACAGGUGACCACGAGUAGAUGGCGUCGGCGGCAACAGCAACACGCACGGUGUGAUGGGCGCGGCCUGCCCGCAGGCAUUCUAGGCUUGCGUGCCCGAUGGCUCGGAACGCGCGCGCCCGGCGCACAGGAGGUAUAUGCCUUGGAGCACGCCGGCGGCAACGUGCACCGCGAGGUCCCGGAGCAGCCCGGCCAGUACAGAGCCCCUCCGUAUUGGACGGACCCUGCGACUCCAUCCUCGCCUCCACUCACAGGUCUAUGCCGAUUUCCACAACAACACUGCCUUCAACUUUCUCAUUUCCCCGGCUCUGCAUACAAGGUGCAAACUAGGUAUGCCAUCUUGUUAUCGCUUGUUCAGUCGCUUUCUGGUUUAUUCCCUUUCACCUACAUAUGGUGAGGCAGUCUGUGGAAUUUAGGGGCUGGUUUGAACCAAUUACAAUGAUGUAGUGGUGCGGAUCAUUUCAGUCACCGACUUUAUAUUGUGGUCAGCUUGUUUGUCUUCUUGCUCAUGCAUUCUAAUACAUGAUGUCCUGAUGAUUUGUGAAGUUCUGUGUAUCACGUGAUCAGCUGCACAUCAGGUAGCAUGGCAGCUUGAUUGUUGCUUUUAGGAUGUACAUGUACCCAGGUGGAUCAAAUACAGAUAGCGAUCAUAUAUUUUUGUUUACUCGUGUGUUUUUCAUGUGUCUGCCAAGAAUUUCGACAAAUUGAUUAUAUCAUUCAGAUGUAUUCAGGCCAGGUUUCUAUGAUCCAAAAAAAUCAUGUGGCACUGGCUUUCUUGUUACAUACAAAACUAAAUGUGGACAAGUAUAUAUGUCAUUUUUUGGUAACUGACAAAAGUUUAUCUGGCACUGACUAUUGCGAUGCAUCUUUCUACGUGUGUGUAUUUAUUUGCAUUAUCAAUAUUUUCCUCCAAAUCAUUUGUUGGUCAUAAAUUAUUUUGCAUUAUUGAUGAUUAAUUUGCAAUUGAAAUGACAACAGGGCCGGGUUUUAUAAGUGUAAUGGGUUCAAGUGUGACCUUCCAGUCAAAAAAUGUCCUCAGCAAGAAGCUUAUGUGAAGAUCCCUUUUCUACUUUGAAUGAACUUACUGUAUAUAUCUCUUAUUUAGUUUAGUUCAUCAUUCAGAGAUGCAUGGUGGAAUAUUUUUGUCCUUCACAGGUUAAAUGAGCAUUGCGUAAAAGUCUGUCCAAGUCUCUUUCUUAUUCUUCUAUAAACUGGAAGGCAAAUAUAGAUUUCUCAUGCAUAGUUUAUCAAUCAUGAUCUCACCUCCUUUCUAUAUGCAGACAGUGUGGUACUCACUGGGGAUGCUUGCAGAUUGGUAGUGGAUGUGUGCAGUGAUGGAGGGUUAUGUCCCUAUGGGUGACAGGCAUGGUGAUGUUCACCACUGGUAUGGAGAGAAUAGGGAAAAAGAUAACUUCCCUUGAGCUAUGAAAUGUGAUGAAUCAACAAGUGUUCUCCAAAAGGCUGAAGGUGAAUAUCAAGGCCAUCGCCCUUUGAUGAUGCACACCCAUGGUUUGUUCACCAUAAUGCAAUGAUAAGAUGUUCUCGAUGGUAGAACAAAAGAAGUGGAACAAAUGGGUUUAACUUGUAUGCCUACUCCUGUUGCGAUAAGCAUUUGGUUUCCAUCUACAAGACAAGUUUCUGCUUGUGUAACGACAAUACUGUCUGGGUCGUCCAGUUUUUAGCUAUCAUCUGUUCCAGGAUCAUCCUGACCAUUGGGUUCCUCAUGUUCUCCUUGGUGGUUCUGUACAUUGUCUUAAGACGCAUUGGCCUGUUGAUACUGCAAAUGAAGCUGGUUGAUGCUAGAGAUCAGGCUCAGUAUCAGCUGAAGACAUCUUGGAAAAAGUACAGGAGGGACCUGCUCAAACAAAUGCUCCUCCCAUCUAUGAUGAACUGUGAUUUUACUUUCAUCCAUUGUUUAUACAUGAGCUUACAUCCAGAAGCAAGCUUACCUCUUAGAGUUCUUAUUUCUUAGUACAUGUUGUCUAAAGUAAAAUUUUCCCAAAAAGGCUAUUACUGGUGUGUUAACCUACUGCUGGAAUUGAGCUGAAAUUGAAGUAUGCUUUAUAUUGUAUCCAUCAAGCAUAAAAAGUCAGUAGUCAAACUACAUUCA